CCCUUAGAUGUUCUGGGCCGCACGCGCGCUACAAUGAUGAAUUCAACGAGUUUAUAACCUUGGUUGAAAAGCCUGGGUAAUCUUUUGAACUUUCGUCGUGAUGGGGCUAGACCCUUGCAAUUAUUGAUCUUGAACGAGGAAUUCCUAGUAAACGCGAGUCAUCAGCUCGUAUUGAUUACGUCCCUGCCCUUUGUACACACCGCCCGUCGCACCUACCGAUUGAAUGUUUCGGUGAAGAUUCCGGACCGUGGCGAGCGCGCUUCACGGCGCUCUUGCCGUGGGAAGUUAUCUAAACCUCAACAUUUAGAGGAAGGUGAAGUCGUAACA
This 327-nucleotide ribosomal RNA is filed under the name uncultured eukaryote. Its description in RNAcentral is "partial 18S ribosomal RNA". It matches the Rfam family "Eukaryotic small subunit ribosomal RNA", at positions 1470 to 1796 of the family's 1831-position model. The record is from RNAcentral.